This 417-nucleotide ribosomal RNA is filed under the name uncultured bacterium. Its description in RNAcentral is "bacterial SSU rRNA". It matches the Rfam family "Bacterial small subunit ribosomal RNA", at positions 361 to 776 of the family's 1533-position model. The record is from RNAcentral.
AUAUUGGGCAAUGGCCGAGAGGCUGACCCAGCCAUGCCGCGUGCAGGAAGAAGGCCUUCUGGGUUGUAAACUGCUUUUAUAUAGGAAGAAAACGCCUUUGCGAAGGUAACUGACGGUACUAUAUGAAUAAGCACCGGCUAACUCCGUGCCAGCAGCCGCGGUAAUACGGAGGGUGCAAGCGUUGUCCGGAUUUAUUGGGUUUAAAGGGUGCGUAGGCGGCCCGUUAAGUCAGCGGUGAAAUCCCACGGCUCAACCGUGGAACUGCCGUUGAUACUGGCGGGCUUGAGUUCGGUCGAGGCGGGCGGAACUGGUGGUGUAGCGGUGAAAUGCAUAGAUACCACCAAGAACCCCGAUUGCGUAGGCAGCUCGCUAGGCCGAAACUGACGCUGAGGCACGAAAGCGUGGGGAGCGAACAGG